RNAcentral lists this ribosomal RNA (440 nucleotides) under uncultured bacterium. RNAcentral describes it as "partial 16S ribosomal RNA". It matches the Rfam family "Bacterial small subunit ribosomal RNA", at positions 338 to 795 of the family's 1533-position model. The record is from RNAcentral.
CCUACAGGAGGCAGCAGUGGGGAAUAUUGCACAAUGGGGGGAACCCUGAUGCAGCGACGCCGCGUGAGUGAAGAAGUCUUUCGGUAUGUAAAGCUCUAUCAGCAGGGAAGAAAAUGACGGUACCUGACUAAUAAGCCCCGGCUAACACCGUGCCAGCAGCCGCGGUAUUACGUAGGGGGCAAGCGUUAUCCGGAUUUACUGGGUGUAAAGGGAGCGUAGACGGUUAUGCCAGGCUGAAGUGAAAGCCCCAGGCUCAACCAUGGGACUGCUUUGGAAACUGGAAAACUGGAGUGCAGGAGAGGUAAGCGGAAUUCCUAGUGUAGCGGUGAAAUGCGUAGAUAUUAGGAGGAACACCAGGGGCGAAGGCGGCUUACUGGACUGUAACUGACGUUGAGGCUCGAAGGCGUGGGGAGCAAACAGGAUUAGAUACCCCGGUAGUC